UAGGCCAUCCAACCUGUUGGAGUACC
This 26-nucleotide non-coding RNA is filed under the name Mus musculus (house mouse). The record is from RNAcentral. Lineage: Eukaryota; Metazoa; Chordata; Mammalia; Rodentia; Muridae.